UACGAAGGGUGCUAGCGUUGCUCGGAAUUACUGGGCGUAAAGCGCACGUAGGCGGCUUUCUAAGUCGGGGGUGAAAUCCUGGAGCUCAACUCCAGAACUGCCUUCGAUACUGGAAAGCUCGAGUCCGGGAGAGGUGAGUGGAACUGCGAGUGUAGAGGUGAAAUUCGUAGAUAUUCGCAAGAACACCAGUGGCGAAGGCAGCUCACUGGCCCGGUACUGACGCUGAGGUGCGAAAGCGUGGGGAGCAAACAGG
This 253-nucleotide ribosomal RNA is filed under the name uncultured bacterium. Its description in RNAcentral is "partial 16S ribosomal RNA". It matches the Rfam family "Bacterial small subunit ribosomal RNA", at positions 524 to 776 of the family's 1533-position model. The record is from RNAcentral.